GAUGAACGCUAGCUACAGGCUUAACACAUGCCAGUCGAGGGGAAACGACAUCGAAAGCUUGCUUUUGAUGGGCGUCGACCGGCGCACGGGUGAGUAACGCGUAUCCAACCUGCCCAUCACUUGGGAAUAACCUUGCGAAAGUAAGACUAAUACCCAAUGACAUCCCACGAAGACAUCUGAAUGGGAUUAAAGAUUUAUCGGUGAUGGAUGGGGAUGCGUCUGAUUAGCUUGUUGGCGGGGUAACGGCCCACCAGGGCAACGAUCAGUAGGGGUUCUGAGAGGAAGGUCCCCCACAUUGGAACUGAGACACGGACCAAACUCCUACGGGAGGCAGCAGUGAGGAAUAUUGGUCAAUGGGCGAGAGCCUGAACCAGCCAAGUAGCGUGCAGGAUGACGGCCCUAUGGGUUGUAAACUGCUUUUAGAAGGGAAUAAAGUGGGUCUCGUGAGACUUUUUGCAUGUACCUUAUGAAUAAGGACCGGCUAAUUCCGUG
Molecule: ribosomal RNA, 492 nt
Filed under: uncultured bacterium
Lineage: Bacteria
Description: partial 16S ribosomal RNA
Rfam family: Bacterial small subunit ribosomal RNA
Source: RNAcentral